CUUUGAUGAAGUUUUCGGAUGGAUUUAAAACAGCUUAGUGGCGGACGGGUGAGUAACGCGUGGGUAACCUGCCUUGUACUGGGGGACAACAGUUGGAAACGACUGCUAAUACCGCAUAAGCGCACAGCUUCGCAUGAAGCAGUGUGAAAAACUCCGGUGAUACAAGAUGGACCCGCGUCCGAUUAGCUAGUUGGUGAGGUAACGGCUCACCAAGGCGACGAUCGGUAGCCGAACUGAGAGGGUGACCGGCCACAUUGGGACUGAGACACGGCCCAAACUCC
This 281-nucleotide ribosomal RNA is filed under the name uncultured Lachnospiraceae bacterium. Its description in RNAcentral is "partial 16S ribosomal RNA". The stretch from base 43 to 281 matches the Rfam family "Bacterial small subunit ribosomal RNA", at positions 100 to 339 of the family's 1533-position model. Lineage: Bacteria; Bacillati; Bacillota; Clostridia; Lachnospirales; Lachnospiraceae. The record is from RNAcentral.